AUAAAUUUUCAAAAAUCGAAACAACGCUUGAAGUGUCAAAUGUCAAAUUGAUAACCAUUUUUUUUUAGGUUAUGUUGCUUUUUGGUUCGAUUGAGUACUCUUUAUUUAUCCAAUGUUUAUGAAUUCUAAUUUAAAGAUUUACGAAAAUUGCAUUUAAAUUAAUAAAAAAUUAAUCAAUAAAAUUAAUUUAUUAAAUUAAUUAGUUUUUACGAAAUAAAUCGUUUAAUAAAUCGAAACAACGCGUCAAGUGGCAAACUUCAAAUUGGUAACCAUAAAAAGUGGUAAAUUUAUUUAUUUAAUCAUUAAAAAUGCCUCCAACUAUCCAAAACGGGAUUGCAACAAUGUAUGGAGCACUUUUAAAAAUAAAUUAAAGAAAUUAAUAAUAAUACGAAGUGAUUUUAAUUUUUUUUUUAGGUUAUGUUGCUUUUUGUUUCUAUUGAGUCCUCUUUAUUUAUCCAAUUUUUAUGAAUUCUAAUUGAAAUAUUUAUGAAAAUUGCAUUUAAAUUAAUAAAAAAUUAAUUAAGCUAAAAUUAAAUUAAUUAGUUUUUACGAAAUAAAUCGUUUAAUAAAUUUUAAUAAAUCGAAACAACGCCGGAAGUGUCAAACAAGUGUCAAACGUCAAAUUGAUAACCAUAAAAAGUGUAGAAGUUAUUUAUUUAAAGUGCUUCCAACUAUCCAAAAAAGGGGAAUAACACCCAAACGGAUAAAAUUCCCGUGAAACCUGCCUAAGGAGAACGAUAAUCCCAAUUGAUUUUAAAGUUAAAUAUUGCAACACCGUUCCAGACAUUCCGUUUGUGUUGUAUAUGUAAAUUUCUUUAAUUAUAACGCAUUAAAUACAUCAUAUUAAUAAAUUAACUUAAUGUA
Non-coding RNA from Onthophagus taurus, 864 nucleotides. The record is from RefSeq and is a predicted model, not a curated record. NCBI's taxonomy places the organism in Eukaryota, Metazoa, Arthropoda, Insecta, Coleoptera, Scarabaeidae.